RNAcentral lists this ribosomal RNA (429 nucleotides) under uncultured bacterium. RNAcentral's name for it is "bacterial SSU rRNA". It matches the Rfam family "Bacterial small subunit ribosomal RNA", at positions 340 to 761 of the family's 1533-position model. The record is from RNAcentral.
UACGGAAGGCAGCAGUGGGGAAUAUUGCACAAUGGGCGAAAGCCUGAUGCAGCUAUGCCGCGUGUAUGAAGAAGGCCUUAGGGUUGUAAAGUACUUUCAUCGGGGAGGAAAAACAAAACUAAUAAUUUUAUUUCUUGACGUUACCCGAAAAAGAAGCACCGGCUAACUCCGUGCCAGCAGCCGCGGUAAUACGGAGGGUGCUAGCGUUAAUCAGAAUUACUGGGCGUAAAGAGCACGUAGGUGGUUUUUUAAGUCAGAUGUGAAAUUCCUGGGCUUAACCUAGGAACUGCAUUUUGAAACUGAAAUACUAGAGUAUCGUAGAGGGAGGUAGAAUUCUAGGUGUAGCGGUGAAAUGCGUAGAUAUCUGGAGGAAUACCUGUGGCGAAAGCGGCCUCCUAAACGAAUACUGACACUGAGGGUGCGAAAGCG